GUUGUUUGGAAAAGCCAAUAUGCAAACUGCUCAGUCUGCGCCUGGCCCCCGCCCCACGAGGCCCCAUUAGCAGCCACUUUCCCAAAACAGCCCGCCCGCUUUGGAAGGUUCCUUUCUAUUCAACCCGAGCAGGGCCCAGCAGCAGCCUGCUUGCCAGGUCCUGAGCUCGGAAAGACAAAGGGCCGCGAUUGAAUUUUCUCGGCGCAGAAUCUGAAGAUGUUGUUUACUCUAGAGAAUGGUCUGAAGCGCUCGGCCCGAGGGUGCAGUCUCUCUAGCCGCUCACCCGCCAUUAGUCAUAACUUAAGAAAAGCCGUAAACGGGCUGCGAAGGCGCAGCGAUUGCCUUAGUUCACUCCAAGAAAAGGGGUUUCUUUAUCUUAUUUUAUUUUCUAGAAAAUGCCUUCUGAGAUGAGGUCCAGCAUCCAGCAGAGGCAGACUUGGGGAUUUGAAGAGGUGGAUUCGAAUCCUGCUCUGGUUUUUGUUAGCUAUAGGACCUGAUGUGGCUUCUUGCAGUUAGAGCUUAAGUGGUUCUCUCAGAAAUGACAGCAUAGUAGACAUGUCUGGUUUCCUCCAGUGUUUAUCCUUUGGAAAGAACCCUCAUUUUCAUCAAGGACCCACCUGCCCUUCUGGGUCCAGAGUGAGAUCCUGAUCGCUUCAAGUCAGUAAUGAUGCUCCCCACCCCUGCCUCGGGGGCCAUAUGAUACAACUCUAGUCAGAGCUUUGAGUGGAAAUAGUUCUAGGAGUUUCUAGGAAUAAUUUCCCCCCAUUUAAGAAAGAGUCCCAUGGAAGCCAAGAGGUAAGUUUGCCUGAAGAAGCUAACAUGCUAAAGUUGUCAAGAAUGAAGGAAAAGGGGGAGGGGGAGUUGUUGAUACUGAAAAAACAGGAUAGCCACAGGGCUUGGUGGACCCUUAACUUAUAUGCCCGGGAACCCCAAGAACCCCAGGAGAGAAACAAGUAUGGAAAAAAGAAUGGAGAAAGGUUUCUAAAGACAGGUUUAACUAUGGAAGGAAGAUCCACCCUAAUGUUGACAGCACCAUCCCGUGCUGCUGGGGUCAGACUGAAUACAGAGGAAAGGGGGAAAUGGGAAGCUGAGUGCAGCCUUCAUCUCUGCUCCCUGCAUCUCUCACAUUCAAGCCACCGAGGAGCCUUCCCUGCCAUGCUGGACUGCACCUUCAACUGUGAGCCAAAUACUUCCUCAAGUUGCUUGCCAGACCAUAGGUGUGAUACUAGCUGCUUCAAGCUCCUGCUGCCUUGAGUACUCUACAACAGACCUGCAAUACUGAAAAGGAAAG
RNAcentral lists this long non-coding RNA (1291 nucleotides) under Mus pahari (shrew mouse). Its description in RNAcentral is "lncRNA (MGP_PahariEiJ_G0002196.1)". The record is from RNAcentral. Lineage: Eukaryota; Metazoa; Chordata; Mammalia; Rodentia; Muridae.